UGGAAUUCGCGAUACUUGAAAUACUCCGGAGAUUGGCAUCUGUUCCCUUCGAUCUUCCGUCAGAUAGAUCGACUAUGGGGCCCGUUACAACUGGACCUGUUCGCAUCCAGACUGAACGCUCAACUACCCCAAUACUUCAGUUGGAGACCGGAUCCAUCAGCCACGGCGGUGGACGCGUUCCUGCAGAUAUGGCCUCGGGGUCGUCACUUUGCGUUUCCCCCUUUCAACCUGAUCUCUCG
Molecule: non-coding RNA, 239 nt
Organism: Pelobates cultripes (western spadefoot toad)
Lineage: Eukaryota; Metazoa; Chordata; Amphibia; Anura; Pelobatidae
Source: the annotation of a GenBank genome assembly